UGCUGGACAAGACAGCAUUCAGAGAUAAUGGAUUUUCUUCUUGUCUCCAGGACUUUAAUAUUUUGGAUAACCAAGGCCAAUGAGUGUCUGAAAAGAAUUAAUUCCUGUACAGCAUUCAACACAAUUUUGUCUGUGAAUACCAGUAAUAACAUUCUACUUCAUUUCUCCACUUCUGGGCACAGUUUGACUGGGAUUCUUUUUACCCCUCUUCGAUUUCUACAUUUUAAACCACUGUUUAUAUCAGCAGCCUGGCUGAAGAAUGUCUGAAAGAGUUUGAAGUUCAAGGGGAUGUUUGUGUGUGUUUUGGCAGAUGUUAAGAAGUUUUUCAAAAAAUGAGUGCUGGUGUCUUACUAGAGGAAACUUCUGUCUUCCAACUGAGAACCUCUUGAGAGCUUAUUUGUUGCUCUACAUGCUCUGUCUGGUAUGGCAGUGAUACCUUUCACAUUUUAGAGAUUUCACUUUACGAGCACUGCUUCUUCUGUGAGCACUGCUUUUCUUCUUCUUUUCUUUUCUUUUUCUUUGAAGGGAAAUAAAAUUUAAGCAAACAUAACA
RNAcentral lists this long non-coding RNA (552 nucleotides) under Numida meleagris (helmeted guineafowl). RNAcentral's name for it is "lncRNA (ENSNMEG00000010277.1)". The record is from RNAcentral. Lineage: Eukaryota; Metazoa; Chordata; Aves; Galliformes; Numididae.